Gallus gallus (chicken) is the source of this 501-nucleotide long non-coding RNA. NCBI's taxonomy places the organism in Eukaryota, Metazoa, Chordata, Aves, Galliformes, Phasianidae. The record is from Ensembl.
CACAUUUUGGGGUCAAAGGUCACAUAUAUGGGCUCAGAGGACACAGAUUUGGGGUCAAAGGUCGCCGUUUGGGGUCAAAGGUCACGAUUGGGGGUCAACGGUCGCUAUUUUGGGGUCAAAGGGCACACAUAUGGGGUCAAAGGUCACUUUUGGGGGUCAAAGGUCGCGAAUGGGGGUCAAAGGUCACAUAUGUGGGCUCAGGGGACACAGAUUUGGGGUCAAAGGUCAUAUUUUGGGGUCAAAGGUCACAUUUUGGGGUCAAAGGGCACCGAUAUGGGGUCAAAGGUCACAUAUAUGGGGUCAGAGGUGGACAUGUGGGGUCAAAGGUCGCAUAUUUGGGGUCAAAGGGCACACAUAUGGGGUCAAAGGUCCCCAUUUGGGGUCAAAGGUCACAUAUAUGGGGUCAGAGGUGGACAUGUGGGGUCAAAGGUCGCAUAUUUGGGGUCAAAGGGCACACAUAUGGGGUCAAAGGUCACAUUUGGGGGUCAAAGGGCACCGAUA